AUGGCGUCCUCGUCCAUGAUCACCUUCGCAGCCACCUUGUGCCUUGUGGCCGCUUCCGCCGUCGCCGUUCCGCCGGCCACCCUCCAGGAGACGUGCCAGAGCGCUGGCGAGCAGGAGGCGCUGUGCGUGCAGCUGCUGUCGUCGAGCCCGGCGGCCCAGAAGACGCCGGUGGACACGCCCGGGCUCGCCCAGGCGGCCGUGAUGGCGGCGGGGUCGAACGCGACGGAGACGGCGGCGCACCUGCAACGGCUCUUCGAAUCCGAAGACCUCAAGAAGAUGAGCCCGGAGCUCCAGCGCUGCGUCGAGGACUGCACCGAGAGGUACCAGUCGGCCGCGAAGUUCCUGGGCCAAGCAUCGGAGAAGAUGACCGCGGGCUCCUUCGACGAGGCGAGCGUGCUGAUCGACGGCGCGCAGUCGGUGGUGACGCUGUGCCAGCGGUCGUGCGAGGGGGUGCCGCAGGGGGAGCUCACGGCGUGCACCAAAGGCGUCGACCAACUCUGCACCAUUGCCGCAUCAGUCACUCGGUUGGUCGUUCAGAAGUAA
Molecule: ribosomal RNA, 543 nt
Filed under: Triticum aestivum (bread wheat)
Lineage: Eukaryota; Viridiplantae; Streptophyta; Magnoliopsida; Poales; Poaceae
Description: partial small subunit ribosomal RNA
Source: RNAcentral